CGCGUAGGCGGCUCUGUAAGUCGAAUGUGAAGGCCCCGGGCUUAACCUGGGAAUUGCGUUCGAUACUGCGGAACUAGAGUAUGGUAGAGGGAAGUGGAAUUUCCGGUGUAGCGGUGAAAUGCGUAGAUAUCGGAAGGAACACCAGUGGCGAAGGCGACUUCCUGGGCCAAUACUGACGCUGAGGUGCGAAAGCGUGGGGAGCAAACA
Molecule: ribosomal RNA, 207 nt
Filed under: uncultured bacterium
Lineage: Bacteria
Description: partial 16S ribosomal RNA
Rfam family: Bacterial small subunit ribosomal RNA
Source: RNAcentral